RNAcentral lists this ribosomal RNA (253 nucleotides) under uncultured bacterium. Its description in RNAcentral is "partial 16S ribosomal RNA". It matches the Rfam family "Bacterial small subunit ribosomal RNA", at positions 524 to 776 of the family's 1533-position model. The record is from RNAcentral.
GACAGAGGUGCCGAGCGUUAGGCGGAAUCACUGGGCUUAAAGCGUGUGUAGGCGGACUUCUAAGUACCUUGUGAAAUCCCACGGCUCAACCGUGGAACUGCUUGGUAUACUGGUUGUCUUGAGCCACUUAGGGGCAGUCGGAACAGACGGUGGAGCGGUGAAAUGCGUAGAUAUCGUCUGGAACGCCAACGGUGAAAACAGACUGCUGGGAAUGUGCCGACGCUGAGACACGAAAGCCAGGGGAGCAAACGGG